This 406-nucleotide ribosomal RNA is filed under the name uncultured bacterium. RNAcentral describes it as "partial 16S ribosomal RNA". It matches the Rfam family "Bacterial small subunit ribosomal RNA", at positions 30 to 526 of the family's 1533-position model. The record is from RNAcentral.
AUUGAACGCUGGCGGCAGGCUUAACACAUGCAAGUCGAGCGAGCGGCGGCCGGGUGAGUCAUGUCUGGGAAACUGCCUGAUGGAAGGGGAUAACUACUGGAAACGGUAGCUAAUACCGCAUACCAUCAGAUGUGCCCAGAUGGGAGUAGCUAGUAGGUGGGGUAAUGUCUCACCUAGGGGACGAUCCCUACCUGGUCUGGGAGGAUGACCAGCCCAACUGGAACUGAGACACGGUCCAGAUGCCUACGGGAGGCAGCAGUGGGGAAUAUUGGACAAUGGGCGCAAGCAUAAUGCAGCAAUGCCGCGGGUGUGAAGAAGGCCUUCGGGGUGUAAAGCACUUUCAGCGAGGAGGCGGUACUCGUAGAAGAAGCACCGGCUAACUCCGUGCCAGCAGCCGCGGUAAUAC